UACGGGGGGGGCAAGCGUUGUUCGGAAUUACUGGGCGUAAAGGGCUCGUAGGCGGCCAACUAAGUCGGACGUGAAAUCCCUCAGCUUAACUGGGGAACUGCGUCUGAUACUGGAUGGCUUGGAUUCGGGAGAGGGAUGCAGAAUUCCAGGUGUAGCGGUGAAAUGCGUAGAUAUCUGGAGGAACACCGGUGGCGAAGGCGGCAUCCUGGACCGAUAUUGACGCUGAGGAGCGAAAGCCAGGGGAGCAAACGGG
This 253-nucleotide ribosomal RNA is filed under the name uncultured bacterium. Its description in RNAcentral is "partial 16S ribosomal RNA". It matches the Rfam family "Bacterial small subunit ribosomal RNA", at positions 524 to 776 of the family's 1533-position model. The record is from RNAcentral.